RNAcentral lists this ribosomal RNA (1462 nucleotides) under uncultured bacterium. Its description in RNAcentral is "bacterial SSU rRNA". It matches the Rfam family "Bacterial small subunit ribosomal RNA". The record is from RNAcentral.
AUUGAACGCUGGCGGCAGGCCUAACACAUGCAAGUCGAACGGUAGCACAGAGGAGCUUGCUCCUUGGGUGACGAGUGGCGGACGGGUGAGUAAUGUCUGGGAAACUGCCCGAUGGAGGGGGAUAACUACUGGAAACGGUAGCUAAUACCGCAUAACGUCGCAAGACCAAAGAGGGGGACCUUCGGGCCUCUUGCCAUCGGAUGUGCCCAGAUGGGAUUAGCUAGUAGGUGGGGUAACGGCUCACCUAGGCGACGAUCCCUAGCUGGUCUGAGAGGAUGACCAGCCACACUGGAACUGAGACGCGGUCCAGACUCCUACGGGAGGCAGCAGUGGGGAAUAUUGCACAAUGGGCGCAAGCCUGAUGCAGCCAUGCCGCGUGUAUGAAGAAGGCCUUCGGGUUGUAAAGUACUUUCAGCGAGGAGGAAGGUGUUGUGGUUAAUAACCGCAGCAAUUGACGUUACUCGCAGAAGAAGCACCGGCUAACUCCGUGCCAGCAGCCGCGGUAAUACGGAGGGUGCAAGCGUUAAUCGGAAUUACUGGGCGUAAAGCGCACGCAGGCGGUCUGUCAAGUCGGAUGUGAAAUCCCCGGGCUCAACCUGGGAACUGCAUCCGAAACUGGCAGGCUAGAGUCUUGUAGAGGGGGGUAGAAUUCCAGGUGUAGCGGUGAAAUGCGUAGAGAUCUGGAGGAAUACCGGUGGCGAAGGCGGCCCCCUGGACAAAGACUGACGCUCAGGUGCGAAAGCGUGGGGAGCACACAAAAGUAAAUACCCUGGUAGUCCACACCAUAAAGGGCCUCAGUAGGAGGUUGUGCCCUUGAGGCGUGGCUUCCGGAGCUAACGCGUUAAGUCGACCGCCUGGGGAGUACGGCCGCAAGGUUAAAACUCAAAUGAAUUGACGGGGGCCCGCACAAGCGGUGGAGCAUGUGGUUUAAUUCGAUGCAACGCGAAGAACCUUACCUACUCUUGACAUCCAGAGAACUUAGCAGAGAUGCUUUGGUGCCUUCGGGAACUCUGAGACAGGUGCUGCAUGGCUGUCGUCAGCUCGUGUUGUGAAAUGUUGGGUUAAGUCCCGCAACGAGCGCAACCCUUAUCCUUUGUUGCCAGCGGUUCGGCCGGGAACUCAAAGGAGACUGCCAGUGAUAAACUGGAGGAAGGUGGGGAUGACGUCAAGUCAUCAUGGCCCUUACGAGUAGGGCUACACACGUGCUACAAUGGCAUAUACAAAGAGAAGCGACCUCGCGAGAGCAAGCGGACCUCAUAAAGUAUGUCGUAGUCCGGAUUGGAGUCUGCAACUCGACUCCAUGAAGUCGGAAUCGCUAGUAAUCGUGGAUCAGAAUGCCACGGUGAAUACGUUCCCGGGCCUUGUACACACCGCCCGUCACACCAUGGGAGUGGGUUGCAAAAGAAGUAGGUAGCUUAACCUUCGGGAGGGAGGUUACCACUUUGUGAUUCAUGACUGGGGU